This 74-nucleotide transfer RNA is filed under the name Lepisosteus oculatus (spotted gar). It matches the Rfam family "tRNA". From Rfam's summary of the family: Transfer RNA (tRNA) molecules are approximately 80 nucleotides in length. Their secondary structure includes four short double-helical elements and three loops (D, anti-codon, and T loops). Lineage: Eukaryota; Metazoa; Chordata; Actinopteri; Semionotiformes; Lepisosteidae. The record is from Rfam by way of RNAcentral.
GGCUGGUUCACUCAGUUGGUUAGAAUGUAGUGCUAAUAACACAGAGGUUGCGGGUUCGAUUCCCAUAUGGGCCA